This is a long non-coding RNA of Neodiprion fabricii, 1181 nucleotides long. RefSeq lists it as uncharacterized. The record is from RefSeq and is a predicted model, not a curated record. The transcript is spliced from 4 exons. Lineage: Eukaryota; Metazoa; Arthropoda; Insecta; Hymenoptera; Diprionidae.
UCGUAUAUAUGACGUUAUGCCAGCGCGCCAGCCGUACGCGUUACACGAGCAAAGACUAUGCAGCUUGUAGAUAGCUGCGAGUGGUGAAAUGAAACUAUAUACAACCAUUGAGUACGUGAGGUAGAGUUUAUUAUUAUCCAGAAAAGAGAAAAUCGUUUGACCAGAGUUCACUUAGCAUAUGUCGUAUAAAUAUUAGAUGUGUAAUUAAUUUCAUAGGAUGGAAUAAUGCUAAGGAAUGCAACGUUGUGUACUGACAUACGCCAGCCGGUAAAACGUAACCUGGGAGUUCUGCCAUUAUACAUUGAUGCCUUAUACCUACUACGCCACUUCCGCCAACUCGCUGGUGAUCAAAAUGGACGCCUUUGUGUCUAUUUUCUUGGUAUUCAUACCCCGUAAAUAAAAUAAUCCUUAGAACUAAUCACCCCCGCAUUCUAAAUAAGUACAAGGUGUCUCGUGAAAUGAGAGUGACAAGUGCAUGGUGUUGAUUGCCGUCUGUUUUGUUACGAUAUGACUUGAGGCCUAAGAGAAUCAUGUAGGCCACAGCCGCGGAUGACAAUUGAGUGGAUAUUUCGCUGCGAGAAAAAGUCUUUUCGUUCAACUAACCGAGACACCGAUGGACGUGAAAGAUCGGCAACCUGUAAUAUCAUCACGCCGUAUUAUUUUCGACUAAAGAAAAUACACCAGCAUCCCGCCAAAACAGUAUUGGCCACCGCGCAUUCCAGCGUAUAAAUAAUCAGCGGUAUUGCUUGAUUUUUACAUUAUUUCAAGAUCACAACCUCGGCGCCUCCCUGAAAAUUUGCGACAACGGUAGUAACGGGCCGUACUUCAAACAUGAAUCGACUGUUGCAGGACCCUAGAGCGUCAUCUAAAUUUGGCUGACUUCUUAGUGACAGCAACAAUGGGAACUUAGAGAGACUUUGUUGGGUUCCCAAGCUUGGUAGAAAGUUUGAAGACUCGAAGAUAUUAUUGAUUGAUAGUGCGCUUGUAUGUAGCGCUCCGUCGAAAGUUGGUAUUCCGCUGCUGCAUCUACAAUAUCGAAACGUCAGAGACGCGGAUAUAGCAGAGCCGAGAAUCGUUUAGUUUUAACGCAAUCCAUCUCUGAGGAAGAGGAAAAGGCCAGCUUGAAUUACGACUGCAACUAUAACCUGUUCCUAGCUAAAAGACUAAUAGCUGACAUGAGG